This is a transfer RNA of Caenorhabditis elegans, 72 nucleotides long. The record is from Ensembl. Lineage: Eukaryota; Metazoa; Nematoda; Chromadorea; Rhabditida; Rhabditidae.
UCCUCGGUAGUAUAGUGGUGAGUAUCCGCGUCUGUCACAUGCGAGACCCUGGUUCAAUUCCCGGCCGGGGAG